UACGGAGGAUCCGAGCGUUAUCCGGAUUUAUUGGGUUUAAAGGGUGCGCAGGCGGCUUUGUAAGUUAGAGGUGAAAUUUCGGUGAUUAACAUCGAACGUGCCUCUGAUACUGCGGAGCUAGAGACCAGUUGCAGAAGGCGGAAUGUGUAGUGUAGCGGUGAAAUGCUUAGAUAUUACACAGAACACCGAUUGCGAAGGCAGCUUUCUAAGCUGGAUCUGACGCUGAGGCACGAAAGCGUGGGUAGCGAACAGGAUUA
Molecule: ribosomal RNA, 257 nt
Filed under: uncultured prokaryote
Description: partial 16S ribosomal RNA
Rfam family: Bacterial small subunit ribosomal RNA
Source: RNAcentral